RNAcentral lists this long non-coding RNA (241 nucleotides) under Ananas comosus (pineapple). RNAcentral describes it as "long non-coding RNA (ACOM_LNC005867)". The record is from RNAcentral. Lineage: Eukaryota; Viridiplantae; Streptophyta; Magnoliopsida; Poales; Bromeliaceae.
AUUUUUAUUUUUAUUAUAUAUAUAUAUAUAAAAUAAAGUUAGUAUGCUUCUGGAAGCACGGAGACCCGUGCCUUUAAGUCGUUUUCGAUGUUGAAACUUUCGAAUCGACGAUCGGCUCCGUUAGACUUGAUCUAAAGUAUUUGAAAUAUUUAGAAAAUAAAUUUCAUAAUUUUUGGUUAUUAUUUGUCUAGUGAUCGAAGGGUUCUCAUGAAGUUUCAGAAGAAUAUAAGGCUCGAAUUUU